CCAAACUCAAAUCCUCUCCCAGAGAUCCCACCCCCGAAUAUCUCAGCAAACCAAAACGCGGGAAAUUAUUGAAAAACAGAACGCGUUUCUGAUUGGCUAGAAAGGGCGGGCAAUGUUUUUUUUCUUUCUUUCUUUCUUUUUUUUUAACUGUAUGCAGAGACAAUAGAGGCAUUUUAUGUGUUUUAUUAUAGAAAUGUGGUAUUUGAAUAAAUAAAAAUAGUCAAAGGAAUUUUAUGACUUUUAAAUGCCCUUUUUAAAAAAAAAAAAAUCAUAUUCAAGAACUCAUAACUGGAAUUUUUACCCUCCUUUGUCUUUCAGCUAUACAGUUACAGGUUACGUGAUUUGACUCUUUGUCACUACAUUUAUAUAUUCAUAACUGUCUCAUUUUUUUGUUUAAUGUAACGUAUACGUUCAGUCUUCACUAUCGCCACUCCAGCAAAGCAGGCGGCGCUGUGCCGUGAACCGCCGACGCCAAGCGAGAGACGAGGAAGAACAGGCAUUGCCUUUCAAAUAAUCACAGUAGCCCGCCCACUGUCCGAUGCUGUUUGCAUCGAAAAUAUUGUCGAAUGCAUGAAAAAGAUCAUCUCUGCUGUUGUGAAAGCGCUUUGCGAGUAAGAUUCUCCGCACCAAACCGAAGAGUGUGGCACCAAUACGCCUGAAGUUGUGAGCGAGAAGCUGCAGCGUGAUGGAGGUUGAGAAUAAAGAAGCAACCGAGAGCCCUGUGCCCAACGGCAGCACCCACCCACCCAAACGUGGACGAGGCAGACCACGAGGGUCUCUCAAUAAGAAGUUCCCUACCGAGAAAGCGCCGACACACAAUGCCAGGCCGUCUAAGAAGGUGGACUUCUUUUCUCCUGACAUAGUCAUAAAGAACAAGGUGAAGAAACGUGGUCGACCAAAGAAGUUAAAAAUGCCUGGCAGGCCAAGAAAGAUCCCGCUCACGCCUGAGGAAGAAUCUGAGAGACUUCAGAGGAUGAGUUUACAGCGCAAGCGGAGACUGUCAAAGCCGCUCGGAAGACCACGCAUUCAUCCCAUCACUGAAGGAUCCAAGGCUAAAAGCGCCAAACAAGCUGGUGUUGAUAUCAGCCUGGAUGCCUCCAACGGUACUCCACGAAAGAGAGGGAGGCCGGCGGGCUCGUUGAAGAGAAAGAGGGGUCGGCCCGCAGGUUCUACCAAGGUUGCCAAGAUCGCCAGGGCCUCAGAUGGAACCCCAAAAAGGAGAGGCCGCCCCCCAGGCUCUCCCAACAAGGUGAAGAAGAUUCAGCGGGCUGACGGUUCUCCUCGCAAGAGGGGCCGGCCCCCAGGCUCUGGCACCAAACUGAAGGUCAUUCAACGAAACCCAGAUGGAUCUCCUCGCAAGAGAGGCCGACCUCCAGGUUCUGGCAAAAAGGUCAAGAUUGUCGAAAAGAGAGUAGGAGACAGUCCCCGCAAGAGAGGCCGACCUCCAGGUACCGGAAAAGUCAAGGCGCAUGCUGGAGAAGGUGGAGAGACAGGAGGUGAGAACGCAGAUGGCGCUGCUCCACGUCGAAAGAGAGGACGUCCAAGCAAAGUCAGACUCGAAGUCAUGCUCGAAAAACUCCCCACGGCAGCAGCAGAAGAAGAUGAAGAGGAGACCGACGCAACCUCUCCCAAACAGUCUCGCACCUCUGAUAAUUCGUCGCAAAAUCCAAACAAUGAUGAGGAAGACACCAGGGCGAGCGAGAACGACGCAGACCCAGAAGAGGACGCCAUUGAUUGUUCAAAAAAAAGAAAUGAAAAGAUAAGGGGCUUCGUUGAAAAUUGGUGGGAAUAUUUUUUGAAGGGGUUUAAUAGGCUAUGUCAAUUUUUUUUUUUAUUUUUUUUUUAA
Molecule: long non-coding RNA, 1846 nt
Organism: Carassius auratus (goldfish)
Lineage: Eukaryota; Metazoa; Chordata; Actinopteri; Cypriniformes; Cyprinidae
Source: Ensembl